RNAcentral lists this long non-coding RNA (1325 nucleotides) under Homo sapiens (human). RNAcentral describes it as "long intergenic non-protein coding RNA 343". The record is from RNAcentral. Lineage: Eukaryota; Metazoa; Chordata; Mammalia; Primates; Hominidae.
GCAGUGAAUUCUACAAAGAGGCUAUGGGAAAGAAACCUGGAAAGUACCCUUGGCUGUGUACAUUUGAGUAAAGAGAGCACUAUAAAAUCAAAAACCAAUGAAAUGGUUUCCAGAACACAGAACUAUUAAGCUUAAGAAAAGGACAGAAGGAACUGAAGAGAGAGGAACUGUUUUGGAGCAUCACACUUCCACCUCAGAAGAAAUAAGGAAGGAAGGAGGAGGGUGUUCCCACGGCUCUUCAACCAGGCCGGCUCUUCAGCCUACAUCCCCAUCUCAUCAAGUAAAAGGGAUUUUUCAACUGGACCAACCAGAUGGUUUAACAGUGCACUCCCACACCAUUCAACUACGCAAGGGAGAUACACUUAACAUAUGCAGUCGUAUAACACCUACUAACAUUUUCAAACAUUAAACCUUUAAAAAAGAGUUCUAAAGAAAUAGAAGCUUGAAGUAUCAUCUCUCAAGUAUAUAGACACUACUUCAUGGUGUGGUAAUAUAUGCAUAUAGAAGCUAGUAAACACCUCCAGGAGAUGCAAAAGGAAUUAGAACUGCCACAAGGUGCAAGCAAAACCUUGAGGUAAUCAAUCUGCAUCCCAUUUUGGAUGAGAAUAUUUGCAACUUUGAAGGUUAUUUUAAGGACAGCAGCAGAAGAAUUAUGGCAGCUUCUUUAAAAUAUGAAGACUUCGAAGUUAUUUAUCCAAACCAACCUGAUCAUUUCUUAAGAGUGAAUAUACCUUGGAAGACGUGUCCUGCCUUUAGUAGCGUCACAAUGGAUUACAUCCUCUAUAAAGCAGUCUGGGAGGCUAACAUCUGCCACAAGACAAAUAUGGUGCCUGCCCCCAUGGAGCUCAUAUUCGAAUGGAGAAAAUGUCAACAAGUAUCCCACGGAGUGAACACUUCAAAAGGAGAAGCACAGGUGAGAAAAUCGAAUUUGGACACCGUUGAGGAGACUAUUGCAGUCAUCCAAGCUCAAGAUGGUGGAGCUUCAUCCUUGAGAAUAACCAAUGGGGAUAGAUUUAAGAGACACUUAGAGUCUGCAGCCAACAGGGCUGAAUGAGCAGAGAGUUAUGAUUCAGAAGAUCAUCUAAAAUUGAACAGCUGCCACUACUGGCAAUAAGUCUACUGCCAUUUGGUAGAUAACCUUCUUAUCACACAGAAAAAUAUCAGUACAGACAAAUAGACCGCAAAGAAAAUGAGACCAUCAGCAAAGAAGAUAAAGAAGUUUGUACAAAGCAACUUUUUAUAAAUGGAUGGCUGUCAGGCAAAAAUAAAUUUCCUGUGGACAAGACCAAGAGCAAGGCAAGAGGAAAAUAAACAUGUUUAAACUA